UUGUCCGGGAUUUAUUGGGCGUAAAGAGCUUGUAGGCGGUUUGUCGCGUCGGGAGUGAAAACUCAGGGCUUAACCCUGAGCCUGCUUCCGAUACGGGCAGACUUGAGGAAGGUAGGGGAGAAUGGAAUUCCUGGUGAAGCGGUGGAAUGCGUAGAUAUCAGGAGGAACACCAGUGGCGAAGGCGGUUCUCUGGACCUUUCCUGACGCUGAGAAGCGAAAGCGUGGGGAGCAAACAGGCUUAGAUACCCUGGUAGUCCACGCCGUAAACGGUGGGUACUAGGUGUGGGGGACAUUCCACGUUCUCCGUGCCGCAGCUAACGCAUUAAGUACCCCGCCUGGGGAGUACGGCCGCAAGGCUAAAACUCAAAGGAAUUGACGGGGCCCCGCACAAGCGGCGGAGCAUGCGGAUUAAUUCGAUGCAACGCGAAGAACCUUACCUGGGUUUGACAUAUGCCGGAAACAUCCAGAGAUGGAUGCCCCUUUUUGGUCGGUUUACAGGUGGUGCAUGGCUGUCGUCAGCUCGUGUCGUGAGAUGUUGGGUUAAGUCCCGCAACGAGCGCAACCCUCGUCCUAUGUUGCCAGCGGGUAAUGCCGGGGACUCAUAGGAGACCGCCGGGGUCAACUCGGAGGAAGGUGGGGAUGACGUCAAGUCAUCAUGCCCCUUAUGUCCAGGGCUUCACGCAUGCUACAAUGGCCGGUACAAAGAGCUGCGAACCUGUAAGGGUGAGCGAAUCUCAAAAAGCCGGUCUCAGUUCGGAUUGGGGUCUGCAACUCGACCCCAUGAAGUCGGAGUCGCUAGUAAUCGCAGAUCAGCAACGCUGCGGUGAAUACGUUCCCGGGGCUUGCACACACCGCCCGU
RNAcentral lists this ribosomal RNA (859 nucleotides) under uncultured bacterium. Its description in RNAcentral is "bacterial SSU rRNA". It matches the Rfam family "Bacterial small subunit ribosomal RNA", at positions 541 to 1397 of the family's 1533-position model. The record is from RNAcentral.